Molecule: ribosomal RNA, 488 nt
Filed under: uncultured bacterium
Lineage: Bacteria
Description: partial 16S ribosomal RNA
Rfam family: Bacterial small subunit ribosomal RNA
Source: RNAcentral
GACGAACGCUGGCGGCGUGCUUAACACAUGCCAGUCGAACGCGCCUGUCCUCUGGGUUUCUGGGGGGUGGGUGAGUGGCGAACGGGUGAGUAACACGUGAGUAACCUGCCCCCUUCUUCGGGAUAACGGUCUGAAAGGGCUGCUAAUACCGGGUAUUCACUGGUCUCCGCAUGGGGUCUGGUGGAAAGGGUUUUUUCUGGUGGGGGAUGGGCUCGCGGCCUAUCAGCUUGUUGGUGGGGUGAUGGCCCACCAAGGCUUUGACGGGUAGCCGGCCUGAGAGGGUGACCGGUCACAUUGGGACUGAGAUACGGCCCAGACUCCUACGGGAGGCAGCAGUGGGGAAUAUUGCACAAUGGGCGCAAGCCUGAUGCAGCGACGCCGCGUGAGGGAUGGAGGCCGUCGGGUUGUGAACCUCUUUCGCCCGUGGUCAAGCCGCGGCGGGGGUCGUGGUGAGGGUAGUGGGUAAAGAAGCGCCGGCUAACUACGUG